GUCUACGUUGAUUAAAUGGUAAAUCGCCCACAGAGAUUGAUCCAAAUCGAAGAUUGGAAUGGGAGAUGGAGGUUCGAAUCCUCCCGGGGGCA
This is a non-coding RNA of Mycena rebaudengoi, 92 nucleotides long. NCBI's taxonomy places the organism in Eukaryota, Fungi, Basidiomycota, Agaricomycetes, Agaricales, Mycenaceae. The record is from the annotation of a GenBank genome assembly.